This 378-nucleotide unclassified non-coding RNA is filed under the name uncultured Gammaproteobacteria bacterium. Its description in RNAcentral is "contains 16S-23S intergenic spacer region". Lineage: Bacteria; Pseudomonadati; Pseudomonadota; Gammaproteobacteria. The record is from RNAcentral.
UCGCGGCUUAUCACCGGCAGUCUCCUUAGAGUGCUCAACUAAAUGGUAGCAACUAAGGACGGGGGUUGCGCUCGUUGCGGGACUUAACCCAACAUCUCACGACACGAGCUGACGACAGCCACGCAGCACCUGUGUUCCGGGCUCCGAAGAGAAGGUCACAUCUCUGCGACCGGUCCCGGACAUGUCGAAUCCUGGUAAGGUUCUUCGCGUUGCCUCGAAUUAAACCACAUGUUCCACCGCUUGUGCGGGUCCCCGUCAAUUUCUUUGAGUUUUAACCUUGCGGCCGUACUCCCCAGGCGGUCAACUUCACGCGUUAGCUUCGUUACCAAGGAAUUACUUCCCCGACAACCAGUUGACAUCGUUUAGGGCGUGGACUAC